AAUCCUGAAAAUCAGGCUCUCCUGGUUAGUGCUUCUUCUUACAAAAGAUAGUUCCAUAUCUCUCACUCCAUUUGUCUCUUAACAUAUGUACCACUGAUUUUACUUGUCCCAAAAUUAUAGUCCUUUGCAGACAGUAAAAGGUUUAUUUUGCCAGUUAAUAUAAAACAUCCUUUACCCCAACUUAGAUUUUACUUCUAAAAUUCCCAACCCAAUUAAAGGAAAGUCGGAGACUUGAUAAAUUUCAUUAUGUGUAUAUGCUUUUAUUACACUUUUGUAAAAUAUUGUGCACUUGUUAAAGGAACUAUCUUUGAGGAACAUGGUGAUUUUUCCAGUUUAAUAAAUUGUCCUAUUAAUUUUAAAAUUUCCUUUUUUUUUUUAAUGAGUGUAGUGAUGUUGCAUUUUCAAUACCAUGUUAUCUUGAUUUUACUAGCUAAAGGUAUUCCAUUUCCAAAAAGCUAUCUGUCUAGUUUGGCUUUUUUUUAUUGUUUUCUUCCCGUCCAACUUAAAUAAAACAAAUUUGAAUGUGUUUGAUGAUCAAAAUUUGGAAGUCUAAAGGCUUUCUUCUCUAUUUGCAUUGGCCCCUGUGAUUUUGAAGAGUGCCAUAUGUGAAUCUAAGAAAAGCUGACAGACAACGUACUCGUGCAUCAAGUGAGCAUCCUGAAGGCCAAUUUCAAUCCACUAAGCUCAUUUUUGCUUAGUUUUCAGAUUAAAAAAAAAUUAUGACU
RNAcentral lists this unclassified non-coding RNA (725 nucleotides) under Hevea brasiliensis (rubber tree). The record is from RNAcentral. Lineage: Eukaryota; Viridiplantae; Streptophyta; Magnoliopsida; Malpighiales; Euphorbiaceae.